This 342-nucleotide ribosomal RNA is filed under the name Triticum aestivum (bread wheat). Its description in RNAcentral is "partial small subunit ribosomal RNA". Lineage: Eukaryota; Viridiplantae; Streptophyta; Magnoliopsida; Poales; Poaceae. The record is from RNAcentral.
AUGUCCUCGUACUACACCAAGCAUAACCACAAGAACGCUCGUGCCACAGCAGCGCCCAGGCCGUUCACCAUCGGCACCAUAGUCCGUUCACGGCUGACUAUCGAGGCCGUUCACCGCCAACACCUGAGGCCGUUCGUCGAUGGAACAAUGAGGCUGCAUUCUCCUCCAGCACCAGGCCAGUGCUAUGGUGAACAUUCAAGGCAACAAAGCACACCACAGGUCGCAGUGCUGCCGCCGACCACAUGUGUGCAUGCGUGCGAUUGGUGCGUAUGUGCUUUAGGUAUAACUGCUGCAGCACUUCAGAAAUAUGAACAAACAAAGCUCAAAGCAAAGUGCUAUUAA